CCUACGGGAGGCAGCAGUGGGGAAUAUUGGACAAUGGGGGGAACCCUGAUCCAGCCAUGCCGCGUGUGUGAAGAAGGCCCUCGGGUUGUAAAGCACUUUCAGUGAGGAAGAACGCCUGGUGGUUAAUACCCAUCAGGAAAGACAUCACUCACAGAAGAAGCACCGGCUAACUCCGUGCCAGCAGCCGCGGUAAUACGGAGGGUGCGAGCGUUAAUCGGAAUUACUGGGCGUAAAGCGCGCGUAGGUGGCUUGAUAAGCCGGUUGUGAAAGCCCCGGGCUCAACCUGGGAACGGCAUCCGGAACUGUCAAGCUAGAGUGCAGGAGAGGAAGGUAGAAUUCCCGGUGUAGCGGUGAAAUGCGUAGAGAUCGGGAGGAAUACCAGUGGCGAAGGCGGCCUUCUGGACUGACACUGACACUGAGGUGCGAAAGCGUGGGUAGCAAACAGGAUUAGAAACCCGAGUAGUC
This 465-nucleotide ribosomal RNA is filed under the name Vreelandella stevensii. RNAcentral's name for it is "partial 16S ribosomal RNA". It matches the Rfam family "Bacterial small subunit ribosomal RNA", at positions 338 to 795 of the family's 1533-position model. The record is from RNAcentral. Lineage: Bacteria; Pseudomonadati; Pseudomonadota; Gammaproteobacteria; Oceanospirillales; Halomonadaceae.